This is a non-coding RNA of Gossypium arboreum, 140 nucleotides long. Lineage: Eukaryota; Viridiplantae; Streptophyta; Magnoliopsida; Malvales; Malvaceae. The record is from Rfam.
UGUUAAAAAUCUCAUCUGUUUUUGCUGUUAAAAAGGGGCAUGGUUGACAACGAUAACACAUAACGUAUCACGUGUACCUCAUGCUGACGUACAGGGACAAAUUUUUAACAGUAGAAAUGGGUAUAAUGGAAUUUUUAACA